Molecule: long non-coding RNA, 4752 nt
Organism: Pteropus alecto (black flying fox)
Lineage: Eukaryota; Metazoa; Chordata; Mammalia; Chiroptera; Pteropodidae
Exons: 2
Source: RefSeq, a predicted model, not a curated record
ACCACAAAAGGGGAUGGGAGUUUUUUAAUUCCAUUUAUACUUCUGGAGGGACAAACAUCUCUAACUUCCUUUUUUAAAGCAAGGAUGUUGCAAAAACAAGGUACUUUUAGAGGUUUAUUAGACAUUUUGAAAGCUGAAGUAAUUAUUUGGGCCCCAUACUCUCAUAUUAUUUAAUAAAUUAGUUAAUAUCUCCCCGAGUACAUUUAAACCGUACCAUUAGGAGGCCUUGCACUUCCAAAGUUACAUCAAGAUCCAUAUUACAUGUAACACUCUGCCCAUGUGAUAUAAGAGCUGUACGCUUCCUGAGUGAAACGCUGUGCGAAUUAUAUCUCAAUAAAGUUGUUAAUAUGUCAGGAAUGAAGUACUGACACACUAGAACACGGACGAACCUUGGAAAUAUGAUGCUCAGUGAAAGAAGCCAGACACCAAAGGCCACAUAUUCUGAUUGUUUUUAUAUGAAAUGUCCACAAUAAGCAUUUCUAUCUCUAAAUAAAUCAAUCAGUGGUUGCCAGAGACGGGUGGGAGGGAGGUGUGGGAAGCAACUGCUGAUGGGUCCAGGGCUGCUUUCUAGGGUGAGAAUCCUAAAACCUGCUUUCAAGGGGUGCGUUUUAUGUUUGUGAUUAUAUUUCCAUAAAGCUUACCAGAAAAGAAGACGUGGUGCCUAGGAAACCGGUCACCUGGGACUCUGAACACUGCUCUCAGGAAGAACACCCUUUGGGGCCGAGGGAGAUGCUUCGCCACUUCCCUACGUCCUCAAACAAAACACAGCUGUGCCUGAUGCUGGGACUGUGCCUGAAGCUGGGACUGUGGCCGUGACCACGGCCGGAGGUGGACCUGGCUUUGCAGAAGUGCUGGGUUCAGUAAGAACAGAGAUGACUAUUCAACAUGUCAGACCUUCAGCCCAGAGCAUAAACGCCUGAAUAACGAAGCACAGGUUCCUUGCAGUGCUGAGUGUCAACUUCCUUGCUCCCCUUUCUGUGCCUUUGUUUUUCCAGAGGUCCUCACGGGUAGCACAGUAUUCGUGACAGUUACACGUGGAGACACAAAUAUUUUGCCACAUUAAGCAAUUCACAUUACUUUCCAGUUUGCAGAUGUGUGGAUCGAGAAGUCUGAUGUUGAUUCUUCAUGUUGUUCACAUCGUUCGUCUCAUGACAUAUUUAACAGUUACGAUGACAGUACACGUGAUGGUCGUGUAUGUGAUGAAACUGUCUUUCCAUAUCAUUCAAUGUAAUCUCAGUAAUGUUUGAACAGGAUAAGUAAAUUUCGUGAUUUAUUUUAAACUCUGUCUCGGCAGAGUAAAGCUUUCUCAAAGUGAAAUCAGCUACACUGACUCGAGAGAUGUUCUCACAGGGUAUCAUCGUCAGGAAAGCACCAACAACGUGAAAUUUUGUUUAUAACAGCACAAUUUAUGAUUAAGAAAACUAGAUAUUUUUUGGAAUAUCUAAUAAUUUAGGAACCAGAUAGGUCAUUAUUUUGUUAUCCAUUGCCAACUCAGUUGGACACCCAGGCAUGAGCAACAAUGAUGAAAUUUAGUCAUAUUUUAUAUUUUGCCAACUUUCAGUCAUUUAAAAACCAUAACUUUAUAUGUUUUCCAUUCUCGCAGUUAUGAAGGUAUUUUGUCAAAGUAGGACAAUAACGAUAUGCAACCUUUAAAUAUUUCUCCAGACUGCCUGUGGCUGUCCCACAAGCUGUCCUGUCCUGGAUGCAAUGAGGGACGGAAGAACCAACUUGCCUGGCAAGGCAGUUGUGAGCCUCACACAAGAUCAUGGAUCGAUACAGGCUACACGUACUCUCUCAGUGCAGUUGUCAUUAAGUGCCAUCGUGCCUCACCUAACAGAACGCGCAGCACAUUGUCCUAGAAGCUGCCUGCCUCUGGCUCCAUCAGAUUGAAUGUAACGGUAGGUCAUCCCUGGUGGAGGCCGGCUAAUUAUUUAAGUAGCAGGAAACCAGGAUGGCAGGAUGGCAGGAUGGCAGGAUUACCAGCAGACCCUGAAGGACGUCCGUGGUGUCCCCGGUUCCUCACGACUCUUUGGGGUUUCUCUGGGAUGAUAAACGCCUCCGCUAUUUGUGUAUCAUUUUUGCAUUAUUGGCAAUGCCGUCUGCCUCGCCCAAAGCUACAAGUCAUCCAUGACCCGUCGUCCUCUUCCCCAAGACAAUCAUCACCGAGGCCUCAGCGGCCCCACCUCCUCCCCCUCACCCCGGACUCACUGACGCACACGGUGGGAACCGGGCCCAGCUCAGUCACUCAUCCUCCACCUUCUGCCGACACCAGCUCUCCCACAACCCCCACCUGCCACGCGGAAAUUGCUCCCAAAUUUUUAUCCAGUUUAAACAAUUUUAGCUACUAAAUUUUGACUUUUUUCCUAGUAAGAGUAUUUUACAAUAAACUAAUAUUUACUAUCACCAUCCGUUCAGAAAGAAAAGGCAUUCUAACAGGAGUGGGGGGCGUCACAUAGUCACUUACAAUCUCUCAGCAGUUCCUAAGAUGAUGUCGGGGUAGCCUUAUGAACGACAUGACACCCGGUCCACACAUUUCUUUGCAAAGACCAGCAUUUGAGAAGUAGCUCUGCUUGGACCACCCGGGCACCACAAUGGCUCUGUUCUUCAUGCAUUCAUUUAUUCACUUCAUUCAUGCAUUCACUCAUAAACAUGUCAAGCAUCGAGCACGUGCUAGGUGGUACGAGGAUGAUUCUUCGACCUCGUGAUUCAUUCGGCGAAUGUUUCUGAGCACCUGCUAUGCUGCAUUCUGAAGAGACUGGGACCAAAAGCUAAAUCUCCAUCACGCCACACGGCUACCAUUUCUUUUUCGUGGGGAGAAUAUCUAAGAUCUACUCUCAGUGGCUUGCUGGCUGUGAUCACAAUGCUGUGUAUGAAGUCCUCGGAACUUACUCACUUUUGAGAUUCAGGAGUCUCUUUCUCAUCCUGCUAUGAAUGAAUAUAUACAGUUUUUCUUCUCUUUCUUCAUUAUGAUACCAGAUAAAUUUUUUUUUUUAAUUUCAGAAAAUUAAGGUUACGAGCAAGGUAAACUUUUCUACACCUGUCAUUUGAAACAGUUUAAGGCAUAACAAACAUUAUUAGACAUUCCUUACUGGACAGAGAUCAAAUGGGCUCACUAACUUUUUAAAAAUUUCCCUUAAAAAUAUUCUAUUUCUUUACCAAUACACCUAUCCUGUGGCUGGUUACACGCCUUGUCCACCUCCCCCAGCAGCAACACGGGUGACAGCAAUGUGCUUCACCUUUUCGAAACUAAGAUAUUCCAUGUGAAUUCUCUACUUGCCGUUUCAGCAUAUUCACUUGUAAACAGUACCACUCUGAGGACAUAAAAGGCAAUAAGUAAUGAUUUAUCCCCUAGCACAAAGCCAACUUAAUUGUAAGAGUCUUGGACAUGAACGUUCCAAAGCUCCAAGCUCAUAAUGCAAAACCCACAGAUUCCAAUAAAGAAAGCACGUGCCAAGGGAACCAAAGGCCACAUGCCAUGGAAGAGCUGGCAGGCGGACUUCAGGUCCUCAAUUUCAACAGCUGCUGAAAGCUCUGGUCACUCAGCCAACAGUUAUCACGCGCUCGCUCCACGCCAGCUCUCGCUUAGGUGUUUCGAGACUUUGGGAGGCUCUCUGAGCUGCCGUUUCAAGGUACAAUGAGGCAAAGGCUACUUGUUGCUGGCUCGCUGCUCCUCCGGGUUUGCUUCGCCCAGGGUCCCCGGCCACAGGAUCCCUGAGCGAAAGGGUCCCUCGAAACUGACACGAGGGUCCCCACGAACAGCUCUAUGUCAACGGAAGCACGCGCGUUUUCUCGGUCUUGCCGUCUCCUCUACUGGUUUUGUCAUUCCAGAAGGGAGUCCGGAAAUCGAUCCCACAGCAGAGGCAGCACCUGUUUCCAGUAACGGGGCCACCAGGACGGACACACGGGUCACCCCCAGGAGCAACCUGCCACCUGCAGUCUCCAGGCAGAACUGUCCUGACGACCCUCCUCUCCUUUCCCUGCGAGAACUCAAAGCAUUCACACCCUCGUUUUAGAGAGGAUGCGACUCAAGCUCCCAAGGGGUGGGGACCCCAGUGCUCAGGGGACUUUGAAAAGCAUCGAAUCCCGGGCCUCGUUUUAGCCCAAUUCACCCAGUCUUCUGGGCGGGGGGCUAAGGACAGAGAAUUUCAGACAACCUCCCCUAAGUUAGUUCUUCCAACACGACAAGCCAGGAAUGGCCCAGGAACCAUCUCUGAGGUAGGUCACAGGGUGGAGCAGGGAGAUGAAGGGAGGAGGCUGACGAGACUAGGUAACACGUAAGGUCCCUGAAUUUCAGACAAUGAUUUUUAAUGUUCAGGGGCACGUGAGGUCAGAAGCAUCCCUAAAAAACCCACACGAAGGAAAGGUCAGAAUUAUUAGCUCAGACGGGCUCCGGAGCUCCGGCCACAAGGAGAAAAACAACAUGGUCAUUACAGGCAGUUAAGAGGUCAUUGUGGAUUGUGGGCAGGGGCGGGGGUGGAAACAACUUACCCCUGAGGACAAAUUCAUUAACAGUGGAUCACUUGUGCGGACUGGAUUUGCAAUCAAGAUUGGACUCAUCAGCUGACCCCGAGCUGGUACUUGAGCCGCGGAGGGCUGAGAAUCCUCGGGCUAGAGGACGACCCGAGUUUGAUUUCAUUCACUUCCCCUGACAAAUACUCACGUCCUGCAUAAGUUCCCCUAAGCAGAGCUACCGUGGCUGUUCUCAGAUUCAUUUUAGGAUUAAAAAAAAAAAAAUCAUUAAAAAGCUGCAGA